RNAcentral lists this ribosomal RNA (443 nucleotides) under uncultured bacterium. RNAcentral's name for it is "partial 16S ribosomal RNA". It matches the Rfam family "Bacterial small subunit ribosomal RNA", at positions 338 to 795 of the family's 1533-position model. The record is from RNAcentral.
CCUACGGGUGGCAGCAGUAGGGAAUCUUUCACAAUGGGCGAAAGCCUGAUGGAGCAACGCCGCGUGCAGGAUGAAGGCCUUCGGGUUGUAAAGUUCUGUGAUGGGGGAUGAACACAAUGACGGUACCCCAAUAGCAAGCCACGGCUAACUACGUGCCAGCCGCCGCGGUAAUACGUAGGUGGCAAGCGUUAUCCGGAAUGACUGGGCGUAAAGGGUGCGUAGGGGGUUUAGUAAGUUGGCGGUGUAAUUCCGGGGCUCAACCUCGGCGCUACCGCCAAAACUAUUAGACUAGAGUGCAGGAGGGGUAAGUGGAAUUCCUAGUGUAGCGGUGGAAUGCGUAGAUAUUAGGAGGAACAUCAGGGGCGAAGGCGACUUACUGGACUGUAACUGACACUGAGGCACGAAAGCGUGGGGAGCAAACAGGAUUAGAUACCCGAGUAGUC